Molecule: small nuclear RNA, 184 nt
Organism: Dermacentor andersoni
Lineage: Eukaryota; Metazoa; Arthropoda; Arachnida; Ixodida; Ixodidae
Product: U2 spliceosomal RNA
Source: RefSeq, a predicted model, not a curated record
AUACAUGGCCGACACGUGUCAAGGUGUGUUACCUGUUCUUAUCAGCUUAAUAUCUGAUACUGGUUGUACUUGGACCCAGGAUAAUGAACUUAUUUUUGCAAGUUGGCGAAGUGCUUCACGCCUCCUUCACCCCCGCCGCGGCUUUGCCCGGUAUAGCACUAUCUCCGAGAUCGACCCGCAGCUU